GAUGAAGAACGUAGCGAAAUGCGAUAAGUAAUGUGAAUUGCAGAAUUCAGUGAAUCAUCGAAUCUUUGAACGCACCUUGCACCCUUUGGCAUUCUGAAGGGUAUGCUCGUUUGAGUGUCAUUGUACUCUCAUACUCCCGAUCUUUGCAUUGGGAGCAGUGGACUUGGGUUUGCUGCUUCACCGUCGCUUACCUCAAAUAGGUUAGUGCAACUCUUGGUUGGACAUAGUACGGCGUGAUAAGUGUUCUUCGCCGGUGCCUCGCAAAGAGGGUGGCCGAUCGGGAUGUUGUGCUCCAAACCGUCUUCGGACAAUCUCUGACGACUUGACCUCAAAUCGAGUAAGACUACCCGCUGAACUUAAGCAUAUCAAUAAGCGGAGGA
RNAcentral lists this unclassified non-coding RNA (380 nucleotides) under soil metagenome. Its description in RNAcentral is "partial contains 5.8S ribosomal RNA, internal transcribed spacer 2, and large subunit ribosomal RNA". The stretch from base 1 to 120 matches the Rfam family "5.8S ribosomal RNA", at positions 35 to 154 of the family's 154-position model. The record is from RNAcentral.